Molecule: transfer RNA, 69 nt
Filed under: Ictidomys tridecemlineatus (thirteen-lined ground squirrel)
Lineage: Eukaryota; Metazoa; Chordata; Mammalia; Rodentia; Sciuridae
Description: Spermophilus tridecemlineatus (thirteen-lined ground squirrel) tRNA
Rfam family: tRNA
About the family: Transfer RNA (tRNA) molecules are approximately 80 nucleotides in length.
Source: Rfam by way of RNAcentral
GGGGCUGUAGCUCAGUGGCAGAGUGCUUGCCUAGCAUGCAUGAGGCUCUGGGUUUGAUCCUCAGCACCA